ACUGAUUGAUGGUGCUUGCACCUGAUUGACGAUGGAUCACCAGUGAGUGGCGGACGGGUGAGUAACACGUAGGUAACCUGCCCCGGAGCGGGGGAUAACAUUUGGAAACAGAUGCUAAUACCGCAUAACAACAAAAGCCACAUGGCUUUUGUUUGAAAGAUGGCUUUGGCUAUCACUCUGGGAUGGACCUGCGGUGCAUUAGCUAGUUGGUAAGGUAACGGCUUACCAAGGCGAUGAUGCAUAGCCGAGUUGAGAGACUGAUCGGCCACAAUGGAACUGAGACACGGUCCAUACUCCUACGGGAGGCAGCAGUAGGGAAUCUUCCACAAUGGGCGCAAGCCUGAUGGAGCAACACCGCGUGAGUGAAGAAGGGUUUCGGCUCGUAAAGCUCUGUUGUUGGAGAAGAACGUGCGUGAGAGUAA
Molecule: ribosomal RNA, 422 nt
Filed under: Limosilactobacillus reuteri
Lineage: Bacteria; Bacillati; Bacillota; Bacilli; Lactobacillales; Lactobacillaceae
Description: bacterial SSU rRNA
Rfam family: Bacterial small subunit ribosomal RNA
Source: RNAcentral